Molecule: non-coding RNA, 601 nt
Organism: Saimiri boliviensis boliviensis (Bolivian squirrel monkey)
Lineage: Eukaryota; Metazoa; Chordata; Mammalia; Primates; Cebidae
Source: RefSeq, a predicted model, not a curated record
GUCUCCCUCUGCCCACCCACCUGCACCUGACUACCAUGGGCUGUGCCCUCAUGGAGGCACCAUCAAAUGCUAUCAGACCACAGGGAGAGCACCCUUCAUCCUGUCUGAAGGUUUGGGAAAAAAGCUUCUCAGAAGAAAUGAUACUUGAUACGGGCCCUGGAGGAGGUGGAGCAAUUUGAGAAGAGAGCAGUGAGAGAUGGCAUCCAGGCAGGUGAGAAAUGUAAAGAGAAGAGAGGUCAUCCAGGACAAAUGAAAAGAAAAAGCAACCAAGCAUGAAAUCUUGGAGAAUAAUGUCCUUAUUUAAGGAUUUUGAGCACCAAGGGUACACUCAGAAAUGAUGAGUCCAGAAAUGGUGCCCUCCAGAACUUCCAGUGACGAAGGCACUCAGGAAAAUGCAGCGCCCUAAGGGGUCCCAGAAAAGGCAGUCAGGAAGAACACAGUCUGGUAGUGUCAAGUGCAGUGGAGGCUAAGAGCCUCGGUGUCUCCUUCAGAGAUAGAGUGGAUAUUUACUAGCUUCUGUUGUAUCCUUCAUACAGAACCUGGUGCUGAGAGACAGCUAAUUGUCUUUUUGAACUUUUCUUAAGACUAGUCAAGUACAGUA